RNAcentral lists this ribosomal RNA (316 nucleotides) under uncultured bacterium. RNAcentral's name for it is "bacterial SSU rRNA". It matches the Rfam family "Bacterial small subunit ribosomal RNA", at positions 137 to 487 of the family's 1533-position model. The record is from RNAcentral.
UGCGGAAUAGCUCCGGGAAACUGGAAUUAAUACCGCAUACGCCCUACGGGGGAAAGAUUUAUCGGGGAAGGAUUGGCCCGCGUUGGAUUAGCUAGUUGGUGGGGUAAAGGCCUGCCAAGGCGACGAUCCAUAGCUGGUCUGAGAGGAUGAUCAGCCACAUUGGGACUGAGACACGGCCCAAACUCCUACGGGAGGCAGCAGUGGGGAAUAUUGGACAAUGGGCGCAAGCCUGAUCCAGCCAUGCCGCGUGAGUGAUGAAGGCCUUAGGGUUGUAAAGCUCUUUCACCGGAGAAGAUAAUGACGGUAUCCGGAGAAG